This 974-nucleotide long non-coding RNA is filed under the name Lepisosteus oculatus (spotted gar). RNAcentral's name for it is "lncRNA (ENSLOCG00000022716.1)". Lineage: Eukaryota; Metazoa; Chordata; Actinopteri; Semionotiformes; Lepisosteidae. The record is from RNAcentral.
CUUCAGAUUUUGCUAGCGAAAUAUAGCAGUUUCUGCUGUUGCUGAGCUGGAGUGCUGGACCGCUGUCGAUUACAAUCUGUCUGAACAGAACUCUGAUGACCGGUUCGACAUCCUGAUCCGCGUUACCGAUCCCCGGGGACAGAAACGCUUCACAAUGAAGCGCUCCACACUGCUGAUCGCUCUGAGUGCAUGCAGUGUAGCAGGGAUGUUUGUGAAUUUGAGUGUGUCACAAAAUGGUAAUACCUUGCUAUCCAAGACUGAUGUGAUAGAUUAUUUUGCUGAUAAUACAGGCCUGAAGACUGAAGAUGGUUUGCCUUCAUGGUUACAGCCAGCAGUAAUUGUAUCAUUAGUCCUCAAUAUGGUUGUCAUUUUUCUUUUUGUUCACCAUUUCUGCAGAAGACGAGGUGAUGCACAGGGUUACGCACGUGUCGUAUCAGUUACAGGGCAUGAAGAAGAGGGGAGAGAGGUUGGUGUUUCAGCUUCUCUAGAGAGAAGACUAGCAGUAAUUGGAGAACAAAUCACACAGCUGCAUGAUGACAACAGUAAGUACUGUACUAUUUGCAGAAAUGUAGUAGCCUUAACGGGAUAAAAUAUGUAACCCGAUAAAUGAAUAGCCAACAUCUGAAUGAGAAAUUGUACAGUAUUAGCUGUUAGUUUACUUAAAUCUGUCUUUUCGGUUUGUAAGUGUAAUAAUCAGGAAUUAUAGAGGUACAGUAUGUGGAGUUAAGUGAUGGGUCAGAAAUAUUUCACAAAUCUAAACCUAAAUUGCUGGACAUUGGUCCCUUUGUUUGUUUCUAUAUGCAUAUGAGAAUAGAUGGAUAUGUUCAUUAUUGUUCUUGGUACCCUGGGACCUUGAGCAGAAAUAUAUUCAACUUUCUGUUUCUAUCAGUGGACCUGAAGCCUUAAGUUCUGGCCAGAGGUAUUGUUUCUUUGUUGAUGUGAAUAGAUCUUAUACACCUUAUUGUAUUCUUUUU